Molecule: long non-coding RNA, 834 nt
Filed under: Bos taurus (domestic cattle)
Lineage: Eukaryota; Metazoa; Chordata; Mammalia; Artiodactyla; Bovidae
Description: long non-coding RNA NONBTAT026911
Source: RNAcentral
UUUACAUUGCUUUAUUUCUGUUGUUGUUGUUGGUAUUGUUCAGUUCACACAAAAAAAGGUACUUCAAGUCAUCAUAUCCUUGCAUUUAACCAAGUGAAAGAGUCAUCUUGAAAGAAAACAUUUUACAAACUAGACACAUACCCUGUUUAUUUUCUCUGAAAAAUGCACUCCAUAAAGCAAGUCCAUUUUUUAAACUUUUCCCAAUAUUAUACAAAAAUAUUCUUAUGCAAGUAAUAAAUGUAUCUUUAAACAUCCAACUUUUUUGAAAUUUAAAGCAGUCACACCAAAAGUUAUCAUUGUUAACUUUUAAUCUAAACAUAGAACACCUUGUGCUUAUAUAAACUGCUGUUAUCAUGUGCUCAUAUACUCUUUACAUGGAUCUGGCAAAUAUACUCUGCCAUUAUCCAUUAAAUUAUGUAAAAAAGUAUAAUCAGUGCAGAACUUGCCUAUUUUUAAACAAUGUUCUUUAACCAUCCUCAUCUAUAUUUGUUAUAUAUAAUUUCUUUUUGGAAAAAAUUUUAAGGCAAGUGCAAUCAAAAUUACAAAAUCACUAUAUCUAUUGCUAACAUAUGCAGCAUUCAUAGUGAGUGAGUGAUCUCCUUCCUUUGUUAAAAUGAAAGUACAAAAUGCUAAGUAGGUUAUACUUACUAGAGCCGAUUAUGUAGUCUUACCUAUUAAGUAAUUAAGUCUUUAGAGAUAACACAAAAGUAUACUUCUUUAAAGAUCUUUUAAGAUAUCAACACAAAUGCUAUACCAGCAGCAAUCUGCUAUCCCCUUUCUGUAAUUUGUUGUUGCAUGUCCAGUUUUCUCAUGAAAAUACGCAGCAAGUUAUUC